Molecule: unclassified non-coding RNA, 335 nt
Filed under: soil metagenome
Description: partial contains 5.8S ribosomal RNA, internal transcribed spacer 2, and large subunit ribosomal RNA
Rfam family: 5.8S ribosomal RNA (bases 1-120)
Source: RNAcentral
GAUGAAGAACGUAGCGAAAUGCGAUAAGUAAUGUGAAUUGCAGAAUUCAGUGAAUCAUCGAAUCUUUGAACGCACAUUGCGCCCGCCAGUAUUCUGGCGGGCAUGCCUGUUCGAGCGUCAUUUCAACCAUCAAGCCCCCGGCUUGCGUUGGGGACCUGCGGCUGCCGCAGGCCCUGAAAACCAGUGGCGGGCUCGCUAGUCACUCCGAGCGUAGUAAUACAUCUCGCUCAGGGCGUGCUGCGGGUUCCGGCCGUUAAAAAGCCUUAUUUACCCAAGGUUGACCUCGGAUCAGGUAGGAAGACCCGCUGAACUUAAGCAUAUCAAUAAGCGGAGGA